AGGUAGUUGGUGGGGUAACGGCCUACCAAGCCGAUGAUCCGUAGGGGGCGUGAGAGCGUGGCCCCCCACACUGGCACUGAGACACGGGCCAGACUCCUACGGGAGGCAGCAGUGAGGAAUAUUGCACAAUGGGCGCAAGCCUGAUGCAGCAACGCCGCGUGAGGGACGAAGGCCUUCGGGUUGUAAACCUCUUUUCUGAGGGACGAGGAAGGACGGUACCUCAGGAAUAAGUCUCGGCUAACUACGUGCCAGCAGCCGCGGUAAAACGUAGGAGGCGAGCGUUAUCCGGAUUUACUGGGCGUAAAGCGCGCGCAGGUGGCUUCGUGAGUCGGACAUGAAAGCUCCUGGCUUAACUGGGAGAGGCUGUUCGAUACUGCGGGGCUUGAGGUUGGGAGAGGGACGCGGAAUUCCCGGUGUAGUGGUGGAAUGCGUAGAUAUCGGGAGGAACACCAGUGGCGCAAGCGGCGUCCUGGCCCACACCUGACGCUGAGGUGCGAAAGCGUGGGUAGCAAACAGGAUUAGAUACCCUGGUAGUCCACGCUGUAAACGAUGUCAACUGGGUGUCGGUAGUUUUACACUAUCGGUGCCGAAGCUAACGCG
RNAcentral lists this ribosomal RNA (600 nucleotides) under uncultured bacterium. Its description in RNAcentral is "bacterial SSU rRNA". It matches the Rfam family "Bacterial small subunit ribosomal RNA", at positions 243 to 859 of the family's 1533-position model. The record is from RNAcentral.